This 474-nucleotide long non-coding RNA is filed under the name Ananas comosus (pineapple). RNAcentral describes it as "long non-coding RNA (ACOM_LNC023147)". The record is from RNAcentral. Lineage: Eukaryota; Viridiplantae; Streptophyta; Magnoliopsida; Poales; Bromeliaceae.
GAUUAAUUAAUAAUUUACUAUCAUUAAAAUUUAAAUUUAUAUUUAAUUAACCUUGUUCUGAUUCGGGAAUAAGCUUGUUCCAGGAAAAAGGUGGAACAGCAGUUCCAGCUAGUUCCAGUCUUAUACCAGUUAGUUCCAGAAACCCAGAAACUACUGUUCUCGGUUACCAAACGCUGCGUUUGAGAACAAAGGGGGGAACAAGAGCUUAUUCUCCCCCUUGUUCCCGAACCAAACACUACCCUAAAGUAUGAAAAUUCUAGAAUGCAACGGGUAUAUUAGUGAUGUGGCGUAACAAACCAAUCAAAUUAAUCCUUUUAAGAAUAUAUGUCCCAUCAUGAUUGUAAAAAAGUAUUUUUACUAUACUUUUGUUUGAAAAGAAGGAAUGUGAUUGGCUUGUUAUUGAUGACGUGGUGCAAAUGUGACAGUGUAGAAUUCCUCCCUAAAGUAACAAUUUAAGUAUUUUGGACAGAAGUA